RNAcentral lists this small nucleolar RNA (91 nucleotides) under Kazachstania africana CBS 2517. RNAcentral's name for it is "Small nucleolar RNA snR57". It matches the Rfam family "Small nucleolar RNA snR57". Rfam says of the family: snR57 is a member of the C/D class of snoRNA which contain the C (UGAUGA) and D (CUGA) box motifs. Most of the members of the box C/D family function in directing site-specific 2'-O-methylation of substrate RNAs. Lineage: Eukaryota; Fungi; Ascomycota; Saccharomycetes; Saccharomycetales; Saccharomycetaceae. The record is from Rfam by way of RNAcentral.
AUGAUUAUGACAACUUAUGGUCUUUGACCGUUCUGAGGAAGUAUAUGCAGGAACCAUUGUUAUUUAGGAAUUCUUCGUUUAUGAUCUUCGU